This 253-nucleotide ribosomal RNA is filed under the name uncultured bacterium. RNAcentral's name for it is "partial 16S ribosomal RNA". It matches the Rfam family "Bacterial small subunit ribosomal RNA", at positions 524 to 776 of the family's 1533-position model. The record is from RNAcentral.
UACGUAGGGUGCAAGCGUUGUCCGGAAUCAUUGGGCGUAAAGAGCGCGUAGGCGGCCAGAUAAGUCCGGUGUGAAAGUCAAAGGCUCAACCUUUGAAUGCCGCUGGAAACUGUCUGGCUAGAGUCCGGGAGGGGCGAGUGGAAUUCCUGGUGUAGCGGUGAAAUGCGCAGAUAUCAGGAGGAACACCAAUGGCGAAGGCAGCUCGCUGGAACGGUACUGACGCUGAGGCGCGAAAGCGUGGGGAGCAAACAGG